CGUGCGAGCUAGCACUUUCGAAGAGAUCAAUCAGAUUGAGACUUCGAGUGAACUUUUUGUAGAGUCCAGAUACGUGUGCGGCUGUGAGAAACUAGUAAGAAUCCUCUUUACCAUGUCUCUCAGCAGUGACGAUCAUCGAUUUGUGCUCAGGUAUCAAGUUCUAAACUCAGAUUAGAGGUAGAUUUAAUCUACUGCUUAUAUGUAUGCAUGCA
This 212-nucleotide long non-coding RNA is filed under the name Elaeis guineensis (African oil palm). RNAcentral describes it as "long non-coding RNA (EGUI_LNC061203)". The record is from RNAcentral. Lineage: Eukaryota; Viridiplantae; Streptophyta; Magnoliopsida; Arecales; Arecaceae.